CAGUCGCCGCGGGAAUACGAAGGGGGCUAGCGUUGUUCGGAAUUACUGGGCGUAAAGCGCACGUAGGCGGACAUUUAAGUCAGGGGUGAAAUCCCGGGGCUCAACCCCGGAACUGCCUUUGAUACUGGGUGUCUUGAGUAUGGAAGAGGUAAGUGGAAUUGCGAGUGUAGAGGUGAAAUUCGUAGAUAUUCGCAGGAACACCAGUGGCGAAGGCGGCUUACUGGUCCAUUACUGACGCUGAGGUGCGAAAGCGUGGGGAGCAAACAGGAUUAGAUACCCGUGUAGUCCCUGUCUCUUAUAC
Molecule: ribosomal RNA, 301 nt
Filed under: uncultured bacterium
Lineage: Bacteria
Description: partial 16S ribosomal RNA
Rfam family: Bacterial small subunit ribosomal RNA
Source: RNAcentral